UGGUCCAGACAUGAUGACUCGUGAGUAUGAGUCAAGGAUGAUGAAUAAUAGAAGUCUAGAAGUUUAAGCUCCAA
Small nucleolar RNA from Saimiri boliviensis boliviensis (Bolivian squirrel monkey), 74 nucleotides. RefSeq annotates it as small nucleolar RNA SNORD113/SNORD114 family. NCBI's taxonomy places the organism in Eukaryota, Metazoa, Chordata, Mammalia, Primates, Cebidae. The record is from RefSeq and is a predicted model, not a curated record.